AUUGAACGCUGGCGGCAGGCCUAACACAUGCAAGUCGAACGAGCGGCGGACGGGUGAGUAAUGUAUGGGGAUCUGCCCGAUAGAGGGGGAUAACUACUGGAAACGGUAGCUAAUACCGCAUACCAUCGGAUGUACCCAGAUGGGAUUAGCUAGUAGGUGGGGUAAAGGCUCACCUAGGCGACGAUCCCUAGCUGGUCUGAGAGGAUGAUCAGCCACACUGGAACUGAGACACGGCCCAGACUCCUACGGGAGGCAGCAGUGGGGAAUAUUGCACAAUGGGCGCAAGCCUGAUGCAGCCAUGCCGCGUGUGUGAAGAAGGCCUUCGGGUUGUAAAGUACUUUCAGCGGGGAGGCGUUACCCGCAGAAGAAGCACCGGCUAACUCCGUGCCAGCAGCCGCGGUAAUUC
Molecule: ribosomal RNA, 406 nt
Filed under: uncultured bacterium
Lineage: Bacteria
Description: partial 16S ribosomal RNA
Rfam family: Bacterial small subunit ribosomal RNA
Source: RNAcentral